This 478-nucleotide ribosomal RNA is filed under the name uncultured bacterium. RNAcentral describes it as "partial 16S ribosomal RNA". It matches the Rfam family "Bacterial small subunit ribosomal RNA", at positions 28 to 523 of the family's 1533-position model. The record is from RNAcentral.
GACGAACGCUGGCGGCGUGCUUAACACAUGCAAGUCGAACGGUAAGGCCCUUCGGGGUACACGAGUGGCGAACGGGUGAGUAACACGUGGGUGAUCUGCCCUGCACUUCGGGAUAAGCCUGGGAAACUGGGUCUAAUACCGGAUAGGACCACUGCCUGCAUGGGUGGUGGUGGAAAACUUUUGCGGUGUGGGAUGGGCCCGCGGCCUAUCAGCUUGUUGGUGGGGUGAUGGCCUACCAAGGCGACGACGGGUAGCCGGCCUGAGAGGGUGACCGGCCACACUGGGACUGAGAUACGGCCCAGACUCCUACGGGAGGCAGCAGUGGGGAAUAUUGCACAAUGGGCGCAAGCCUGAUGCAGCGACGCCGCGUGAGGGAUGACGGCCUUCGGGUUGUAAACCUCUUUCAGCACCGACGAAGCGCAAGUGACGGUAGGUGCAGAAGAAGGACCGGCCAACUACGUGCCAGCCGCCGCGGUAA